This 920-nucleotide small RNA is filed under the name Pan troglodytes (chimpanzee). Its description in RNAcentral is "retained intron". Lineage: Eukaryota; Metazoa; Chordata; Mammalia; Primates; Hominidae. The record is from RNAcentral.
CUACAAGGAGAUCCGGAAAGGCGAGAGUCGGUCGGAGGCUCUGGCUGUGGAUGGAGCUGGGAAGCCUGGGGCUGAGGAGGCUCAGGACCCCGAAGGGAAGGGAGAACAGGAGCACUCCCAGCAGAAAGAGGAGGAGGAGGAGAUGGCAGUGGUCCCGCAAGGCCUCUUCCGGGGUGGGAAGAGCGGAGAGCUGGAGCAGGAGCAGGAGGAGGAGCGGCUCUCCAAGGAGUGGGAGGACUCCAAACGCUGGAGCAAGAUGGACCAGCUGGCCAAGGAGCUGACGGCUGAGAAGCGGCUGGAGGGGCAGGAGGAGGAGGAGGACAACCGGGACAGUUCCAUGAAGCUCUCCUUCCGGGCCCGGGCCUACGGCUUUAGGGGCCCUGGGCCGCAGCUGCGACGAGGCUGGAGGCCAUCCUCCCGGGAGGACAGCCUUGAGGCGGGCCUGCCCCUCCAGGUCCGAGGCUACCCCGAGGAGAAGAAAGAGGAGGAGGGCAGCGCAAACCGCAGACCAGAGGUUGGUAUGGGGCGGGAGCCAGCUCUGUGCCAGGCCGCGGAGCAGCAGGGGGCAGCCGCACCCAGACACACUGCCCCUGCCCCACUGAGGGGACAGGGCCCCCCACCGCCGGAGUCUGGGGAUGGAGAGAUGCUCAGACCGGGGGCUCUCAGGGUGGGAGAACACCCCAGCUCACAGGGGGCACCCAGCAAAGCUGGCUGGGAGAUGGGAGGAGCUCAGGUCAGCCUGUGGCAGCGGGGGAGGCGCUGAGUGGGGACGUUGUCCCGAAGGCAGUAGGGUGCCCUGGAAAAACCAUGCGGUGGGUCUGACCGUGUCCCCUCCUGGCCCCCAGGCAGCCCAGGCACAGCCUCCUCCCAGGCUCAGGCCCUGCCUCUGGCCCAUGAGGGUAACGGGGCAGGGCAGGGGC